GAUGAACGCUGGCGGCGUGCCUAACACAUGCAAGUCGAACGGAGUCCAGCCUUUAAGACCUUCGGGUCAAAGAGGGGAAGACUGAGUGGCGGACGGGUGAGUAACACGUGGGCAACCUGGCUCAUAGAGGGGGAUAACAGAGAGAAAUUUCUGCUAAUACCGCAUAAGCACACACUGCCGCAUGGCAGAGGGUGAAAAGAGAAUCGCUAUGAGAUGGACUCGCGUCUGAUUAGCCAGUUGGCAGGGUAAGAGCCUACCAAAGCGACGAUCAGUAGCCGAUCUGAGAGGAUGAACGGCCACAUUGGGACUGAGACACGGCCCAAACUCCUACGGGAGGCAGCAGUGGGGGAUAUUGCACAAUGGGGGGAACCCUGAUGCAGCGACGCCGCGUGAGUGAAGAAGUAUUUCGGUAUGUAAAGCUCUAUCAGCAGGGAAGAUAAUGACAGUACCUGAAGAAGAAGCCCCGGCUAACUACGUG
This 478-nucleotide ribosomal RNA is filed under the name uncultured bacterium. RNAcentral describes it as "partial 16S ribosomal RNA". It matches the Rfam family "Bacterial small subunit ribosomal RNA", at positions 28 to 507 of the family's 1533-position model. The record is from RNAcentral.